This 465-nucleotide ribosomal RNA is filed under the name uncultured bacterium. RNAcentral's name for it is "partial 16S ribosomal RNA". It matches the Rfam family "Bacterial small subunit ribosomal RNA", at positions 28 to 507 of the family's 1533-position model. The record is from RNAcentral.
GACGAACGCUGGCGGCGUGCUUAACACAUGCAAGUCGAACGGAAAGGCCCUGCUUGCAGGGUACUCGAGUGGCGAACGGGUGAGUAACACGUGGGUGAUCUGCCCUGCACUUCGGGAUAAGCCUGGGAAACUGGGUCUAAUACCGGAUAGGAGCCAUUUUUAGUGUGAUGGUUGGAAAGUUUUUUCGGUGUAGGAUGAGCUCGCGGCCUAUCAGCUUGUUGGUGGGGUAACGGCCUACCAAGGCGGCGACGGGUAGCCGGCCUGAGAGGGUGGACGGCCACAUUGGGACUGAGAUACGGCCCAGACUCCUACGGGAGGCAGCAGUGGGGAAUAUUGCACAAUGGGCGCAAGCCUGAUGCAGCGACGCCGCGUGGGGGAUGACGGCCUUCGGGUUGUAAACUCCUUUCGCUAGGGACGAAGCUUUUUGUGACGGUACCUAGAUAAGAAGCACCGGCUAACUACGUG